AUAGUACUCCCUCCAUCCGGAAAUACUUGUCAUCAAAAUGGACAAAAAAGGAUGUAUCUAAAACUAAAAAACGUCUUGAUACAUCUCCUUUUAUUCAUUUUGAUGACAAGUAUUUCCGGACGGAGGGAGUAUAAG
This is a non-coding RNA of Triticum aestivum (bread wheat), 135 nucleotides long. Lineage: Eukaryota; Viridiplantae; Streptophyta; Magnoliopsida; Poales; Poaceae. The record is from Rfam.